Non-coding RNA from Megalobrama amblycephala (Wuchang bream), 547 nucleotides. The record is from the annotation of a RefSeq genome assembly. Lineage: Eukaryota; Metazoa; Chordata; Actinopteri; Cypriniformes; Xenocyprididae.
CUCCUCACUAUCAGAAACAAACCAAUGCUCUGAAUAACAGACUUCUCUCUCAGACCGACUGAAUCAAACUUGGAUAUCACUCUAUCAAACAAUGCAACUAUGGCUGGAAGCAUUAAUAUUUGCUUCAUUUAUUCUUGAAUGCAGACCAGAAGAUAGAGUUGAUCAGCCAGAUAAUCAUGUAACUAAACCUGAAGGAGGAUCAGUCACAUUACAGUGCAAAUAUACUGCAUCUACAACAACACCAGACCUCUUCUGGUACAUCCAGAGAGAAAACGACAUUCCUAAAUACAUGCUGAGGAAAAACAAAUAUGGAGGAGAUCAGGACACUGAGUUUAAGAAGAGAUUUCACUCUGAAGUGUCAUCAGAAUCAGUUCCUCUGAUGAUCCAGGAUCUGCGUGUGUCUGACUCUGCUGUGUAUUACUGUGCUCUGAGGCCCACUGUGACUCAAACACACUCAACACUCAGACAGAAACCUUCAUCAGUGUUGAUCCCCAUUCUGACACAUUCAUUCAUUUUUACUUCAUUCUUUGUCACACAUUUUCACUAA